AUUGAACGCUGGCGGCAGGCUUAACACAUGCAAGUCGAGCGGGGUGAUGGUGCUUGCACUAUCACUUAGCGGCGGACGGGUGAGUAAUGCUUAGGAAUCUGCCUGUUAGUGGGGGACAACAUCUCGCAAGGGAUGAUCAUACCGCAUACGUCCUACGGGAGAAAGCAGGGGCUCACUUGUGACCUUGCGCUAAUAGAUGAGCUUAAGUCGGAUUGGCUAGGUGGUGGGGUAAAGGCCUACCAGGGCGACGAUCUGUAGCGGGUCUGAGAGGAUUAACAGCCAAAAUAGGGAUGAGACACGGACCAAACACCUACGGGUGGAAACAGUGGUGAAUAUUGGACAAUUAGGGGAACCCUGUUCGAGCCAUGACACGUGUGUGAAGAAAGCCUUAUAGUUGUAAAGCACUUUAAGCGAGGAGGAAGCUAUUUUUGUUAAUACCCAAGAUGAGUGGACGUUACACGAAGAAUAAGCACCGGCUAACUCUGUGCCAGCAGCAGCCGCGA
RNAcentral lists this ribosomal RNA (503 nucleotides) under uncultured bacterium. RNAcentral's name for it is "partial 16S ribosomal RNA". It matches the Rfam family "Bacterial small subunit ribosomal RNA", at positions 30 to 523 of the family's 1533-position model. The record is from RNAcentral.